This 253-nucleotide ribosomal RNA is filed under the name uncultured bacterium. RNAcentral describes it as "partial 16S ribosomal RNA". It matches the Rfam family "Bacterial small subunit ribosomal RNA", at positions 524 to 776 of the family's 1533-position model. The record is from RNAcentral.
UACGUAGGGUGCGAGCGUUAAUCGGAAUUACUGGGCGUAAAGGGUGCGCAGGCGGCGUCGCAAGUCAGGCGUGAAAUCCCCGGGCUUAACCUGGGAACUGCACUUGAAACUACGAUGCUGGAGUAUGGCAGAGGGAGGUGGAAUUCCACGUGUAGCGGUGAAAUGCGUAGAGAUGUGGAGGAACACCGAUGGCGAAGGCAGCCCCCUGGGUCAACACUGACGCUCAUGCACGAAAGCGUGGGGAGCAAACAGG